CAUAUAUCACUAAUGAAAGCCUUUUAUUCAGCAUGAAUUUCAUAUCUUGUCAUCUAUUUCUUUUAUCAUAUAUCUAGUUUUCUUAAUCUUUUUUUCGGCUUUGGACUAAUCAAGAUCAUAUCUCAAUUCUUGAUCUGACCCAAAAUCUCAUGCGUAAGUCCAUAGAGGCUAUCUCAAGCAUGAGCUUCUGACGGGCUGUCCCAGGUAUGAGCUCCUGACGGGUUAUCCUAGACAUAAGCUUCUAAAGGUUGUCUCACAUAUGAAAGUCCGUAGAGACUGUCUCAGACAUAAGCUUCUGACAG
This 302-nucleotide long non-coding RNA is filed under the name Elaeis guineensis (African oil palm). RNAcentral's name for it is "long non-coding RNA (EGUI_LNC029248)". The record is from RNAcentral. Lineage: Eukaryota; Viridiplantae; Streptophyta; Magnoliopsida; Arecales; Arecaceae.